RNAcentral lists this ribosomal RNA (374 nucleotides) under uncultured organism. RNAcentral's name for it is "partial 16S ribosomal RNA". It matches the Rfam family "Bacterial small subunit ribosomal RNA", at positions 527 to 897 of the family's 1533-position model. The record is from RNAcentral.
GUAGGUGGCAAGCGUUGUCCGGAAUUAUUGGGCGUAAAGCGCGCGCAGGCGGUUCUUUAAGUCUGAUGUGAAAGCCCACGGCUCAACCGUGGAGGGUCAUUGGAAACUGGAGAACUUGAGUACAGAAGAGGAAAGCGGAAUUCCACGUGUAGCGGUGAAAUGCGUAGAGAUGUGGAGGAACACCAGUGGCGAAGGCGGCUUUCUGGUCUGUAACUGACGCUGAGGCGCGAAAGCGUGGGGAGCAAACAGGGAUUAGAUACCCUGGUAGUCCACGCCGUAAACGAUGAGUGCUAAGUGUUAGGGGGGUUUCCGCCCCCUUAGUGCUGCAGCUAACGCAUUAAGCACUCCGCCUGGGGAUACGGCCGCAAGGCUAA